AAACUUUCAACAAUGGAUCUCUUGGUUCCGGCAUCGAUGAAGAACGCAGCGAAAUGCGAUAAUUAAUGUGAAUUGCACAAUUCAGUGAAUCAUCGAGUCUUUGAACGCACAUUGCACCCCCUGGUAUUCCGGGGGGUAUGCCUGUCCGAGCGUCAUUG
RNAcentral lists this ribosomal RNA (158 nucleotides) under Aspergillus sclerotiorum. Its description in RNAcentral is "5.8S ribosomal RNA". It matches the Rfam family "5.8S ribosomal RNA". Rfam says of the family: 5.8S ribosomal RNA (5.8S rRNA) is a component of the large subunit of the eukaryotic ribosome. It is transcribed by RNA polymerase I as part of the 45S precursor that also contains 18S and 28S rRNA. The record is from RNAcentral. Lineage: Eukaryota; Fungi; Ascomycota; Eurotiomycetes; Eurotiales; Aspergillaceae.